This 967-nucleotide ribosomal RNA is filed under the name Fictibacillus sp. RNAcentral's name for it is "bacterial SSU rRNA". It matches the Rfam family "Bacterial small subunit ribosomal RNA", at positions 80 to 1031 of the family's 1533-position model. Lineage: Bacteria; Bacillati; Bacillota; Bacilli; Caryophanales; Fictibacillaceae. The record is from RNAcentral.
UGCUCCUCUGAUUUAGCGGCGGACGGGUGAGUAACACGUGGGUAAUCUGCCUGUAAGACGGGGAUAACUCCGGGAAACCGGGGCUAAUACCGGAUAACAAGAGAAGAUGCAUAUCUUCUUUUUGAAAGUCGGUUUCGGCUGACACUUACAGAUGAGCCCGCGGCGCAUUAGCUAGUUGGUGAGGUAACGGCUCACCAAGGCGACGAUGCGUAGCCGACCUGAGAGGGUGAUCGGCCACACUGGGACUGAGACACGGCCCAGACUCCUACGGGAGGCAGCAGUAGGGAAUCUUCGGCAAUGGGCGAAAGCCUGACCGAGCAACGCCGCGUGAGCGAUGAAGGCCUUCGGGUCGUAAAGCUCUGUUGUUAGAGAAGAACAAGUACGAGAGUAACUGCUCGUACCUUGACGGUACCUAACCAGAAAGCCACGGCUAACUACGUGCCAGCAGCCGCGGUAAUACGUAGGUGGCAAGCGUUAUCCGGAAUUAUUGGGCGUAAAGCGCGCGCAGGCGGUCUCUUAAGUCUGAUGUGAAAGCCCACGGCUCAACCGUGGAGGGUCAUUGGAAACUGGGAGACUUGAGUGCAGGAGAGAAAAGUGGAAUUCCACGUGUAGCGGUGAAAUGCGUAGAGAUGUGGAGGAACACCAGUGGCGAAGGCGGCUUUUUGGCCUGUAACUGACGCUGAGGCGCGAAAGCGUGGGGAGCAAACAGGAUUAGAUACCCUGGUAGUCCACGCCGUAAACGAUGAGUGCUAGGUGUUGGGGGGGUUCCACCCUCAGUGCUGAAGUUAACACAUUAAGCACUCCGCCUGGGGAGUACGACCGCAAGGUUGAAACUCAAAGGAAUUGACGGGGGCCCGCACAAGCAGUGGAGCAUGUGGUUUAAUUCGAAGCAACGCGAAGAACCUUACCAGGUCUUGACAUCCUCUGACCACUCUAGAGAUAGAGCUUUCCCCUUCGGGGGACAGAG